AUACGAUCACCGAAGUUAAGCAAUAUCGAGUCUGGUCAGUACCUAGAUGGGUGAACGUUUGGGAAUACCAGGUGCUGUAAG
Molecule: ribosomal RNA, 81 nt
Filed under: Acanthosepion pharaonis
Lineage: Eukaryota; Metazoa; Mollusca; Cephalopoda; Sepiida; Sepiidae
Source: RNAcentral